Molecule: long non-coding RNA, 528 nt
Organism: Rhipicephalus microplus (southern cattle tick)
Lineage: Eukaryota; Metazoa; Arthropoda; Arachnida; Ixodida; Ixodidae
Source: RefSeq, a predicted model, not a curated record
GGGGACGUUUAGGUGGUGGGAACGAAAGGUCUAAAGUUCCUCACUAACUUGUGAGGAUCUUUACCGUGCGGUGGUUAUUUAUCCGUGGUCUUUGCUUGGCCGGAAGCCUUAUGCAUUCGCGAGAACCGCCUCUGCGCAUGGAUACGUGGUUUCGUUCUGUAGUACUGUCUAUAAGCAAUGUAGUAACGACUUGCCCGAUCAUGAACACCGUGUGUUAUGCUAUUUGUGGAUGUAUGCCGUACGUGUAUGUCUGGGUGUCUACCGACCUGGGAAAGUCGGGGAAUUGGGGCCUUGCUGGAAAACUGCAGGAACUUUGGUAAAACCUGGCUAAUUCAUGGAAACUGGCGGCAGUCUGUGCCACCAUCACAAAAAUAAGCAUUACCGUUGAUCAAUACUCAAAAAGUCACUCCUUCGACUGCAACUACAGUGAACAGCUAGAAGAGGCCUAAAAAAAGGCAAUGCAUAACUGUUUCUUCUUAGUGUACAAACAAAAGGAUACACCGACCAAAAUAACACAAAGUUUACAGA